GGGACUGUGGAGCCUCUGUUCACAAAGCCAGUAGCGUCAGGUGCCGUGUGAAGUACUGACAGGGGGCCCUGGCCCCCCAGCCCUUGGGCUAUAAACUCAGGAAGGAAACUCUAGAACCACGGAAGCUUCAGAUCCUACAGAUCCUGAGGACCUGUAACCCAGUUGAUAGAGGCAAGGAGCAGAGGCCACGGCAAGUGGGGCAUCAGCUGAAGUUACUCCAGAGACUUCCUGGGAGACCACAGGGGCAGCAGUGGUGCUGGAAGGAAGCGACGGAAUCCUGUGACUAUGUGAGGGUCUAGCAGUGUAUGCUGAGGGGAAGUGGAGGUGAUGAUGCCAGUAGCAUCCUCAUCCUCACAGGCUGAUGCUCAUCUAGCCAUCCAGGAGGAAAUCCCUCCUGGAACUGGAGCAGCCAAGUAGGCCACCGGUCAGGAAAGAUGAGCUGAAAUCUACCCAGCCUUCGGUGUCUCUCAGCAAGAAAAGUUUGGUGCAGCACCCCCACAGCAGCAUCCAGGCUCCGGGCAAGAGAUCUGCCCAGAGCUCCAUCCAGCAUUAUCUGCACCACCUCAAAGAAACCUAGACUCAGCCCCAUGCCAACCCCUCAGAAGAGCUCACCGACAUCAGAUCUGAGGGUCUUCCAGUAUCUCCAUCAUCCAUGCAGUACAACUGGACAUGGACCCACAGUGACACCCCAUGUGACCAGUAAGACACCUGCACAGCUGCCAGGCCCUCUCCCCAGCCUCGACUCAGCAGAUCUGGCUCUGACACUGUCCAAGCCUCGCUGUAGCCCAUCCUCCACCCACUAGCCUUGUUCCAGGCCAGCCUCUCAGGAUGCCCUUCAGGGGAAUAAGCAAAGGCUAGUGGAGCUGCAGCGACAUGGUGCCUCCCCCACCCCCACCUGCAGAGAAGCUGGCCCCUCCUGCUCUGAGCUGCCCUGUCUGCAGGGAGCCUGAGGGUCCCUGCACCCCAGGCUCCUGAAGUGUCCUCUACGAGGACCUUCAGGUGUCCUCUUCCUCUAAAGAGAGUGACUGGGAGGGAGACACCCAUGACCACUAAAACUUGUCCUCCAGCCCCAGGUGCCCUGAAAGUGAUGAUUCCCUGAGAAGGGGAAGUCACACAGAGUGGCCUGUCCCUAUGAGUUAGUGGUUCUUCACCUUUGGUGGAUGCAGACCAGCCCUGGGAACAGGCACCUGCAAACAGUGCACUUUCUCAGGAUGGAAUUAGAGGCACAUUCCAAGUGGAGUAUACUUCCCAAACUGGAAUGUAAAGAUGUUUGUGAAUCUAAACCCUAUUUAAGGCAUUGAGAUGAAUAUAGGAGUCAAUUGUAACUGUUGUAUAAGUGGAGGCUAUAGUGUUUGUCUGCAUUUGGGGGAAAAUGUCUGAACUUUCGACACCAGGCUAAAGGGCCCAACUUUGUUUUGCAAAACCUGCUUUCUAUAAAACUCGUCUAUAGAAAAAAACCUAUUCUAUAAAACAAAACUCUUGUCUCUUAAAGUUAAAGAAACUUUAGCUCAAUCCAUUAACCAGGGUUUCCCAAAAUCCAGAUUAAUUUCAUAGGUCCUUAUUUAUAAUGAAAUGCUUAUCCAGUGACUUGACUCAGCUUAUUAUAAACUUAAUGGAAUUAAAAAACUUUCCUGGAGUUCCCACUGUGGUGCAUCAGGAUCAGCGACGAUGUCUCCGUAGCACAAGGACACAGGUUUGAUCCCACAGUGGGUUCAGGAUCUGGCAUCGCUGCAGGUAUGGCGUAGGUCACAGCUAUGAUUCGGAUCUGAUCCUUGGUCUGGGAACUCCCUAUGCCACAAGGCAUCCAAAAAGGAAAAACAAAACAAAACCCUUUCCUAUGCCAGUUUCCUCAGUUUCAUUUACAGUCCUCCUGAUCAGAGUCACUGAGGGUCUGAGGGCUUUCACUGAAAAGGGAAGCUGUCCCAGGAGGUGGAGAGGGGAUCGUCUGAACCUGGGGCCCAACUGCCCAUUGUCCAUUCUGGUAAAGACCACUCUACAGCCUGGCCUGGAACACAGCAGGAUGGAGGGGGUGGGGCACCUGCAGGCCUGGACUGUCAUUAGGUGAGUUCUCUUGAGGGGAGGCUGGAGGGCCAUUCUGGCCAUCGGAGUAGGUGUCCUUUAGGUCACAUGGGACUGUCUCUCUGGGCCCAGUCCAUCUUUCCUGAGCAGAGCCUGGAGAAUCUGGAUGGCCAUCCAGCUCGGGGCUCUCAGUGCUUCUCUGAGGUCUAGAAGGGACUGAGAAUCUGUUUGUUUGAGGGACUUGCAUGGGGACCCAGGCAGACCCCUCAUCUGGGGCCAGGAUGCAGAUUGUGGAAUUUGAGGAGAAUGACAUUGGCUUUGAGUUCACAUUAGGACACUGGGCUUGAACUUUCCAUGUGCCAGCAGGGCUGAGGCCAAGCGUGCUGGAGGCAGCCUGAGGAAUGUCAAGGGAGCCCAGGUCAGGUCUGCUGUCUGGAAGCUAAACAAUGAUGGAGGGACCUGGCGGGGGUGCAGGACAGCAGGCUGGGGGUUCAGUGAUGUUCACCCAUGAGUGCUCCUGAGCAAAUUCUAGGAAAGAUGUCUUCCUGGUGUCGGUAGGGGCACUGGCCUUCAGAUGCUGUAAGAAAAGACACCGCACAGGGAAUAUAUAUAAAGUUUUAUCUCAAGAGGCAGAAAAUUGGACCAUAUCCACCACUCUCCUCAUCUCAGAGCCAUCCAGCACCUCAGGGUUUCCCAGGUUUCUCAUUCACUGUGCUGUUUUCCUUCCUGUCUGGGCCAAGCUCCCAGGUGUGCCCCACCCUCUCCCCAUGGGGAUUCUCUAAGAGUGGACUGAGCCCCUUCCAGUUAUAGACCCCAGGAGGGUAGGGAUGGCUUCUUUGUUUCCCUCCAGGCUACCCCUGGCCUUGCCACUGAUGGGGUCAGGGAUGGAGAGACAAAGCACAUUUACAUCUCAAUAAACUCAGAUGAGCCAAGCCUCGCACCUUGCUCACCACCGUCCACGUUCCUUCUGUCUUGUUCAAGGAAGCUGUGCUCAGCUGGCCCCAGGGUAUCCUUGGCUCUCCUUCUCUUCCUUUGGCCCCAGGUGGGGGAAGGCAAGCCCCAUCCUGGCCCUUCCCAGGGCAGCUCCUGCUCCUGCUGCCUCCUAAAGGCACAUUCAUCCUUUCCACACCUGUGCUCAGAGAGACGGCAGAAAACACAGUCAGCUUUCAGAGGUGACCUUCAGGAUAGAUUCAGCCCUCUGCUCACCCUAGGAUCCCCCCACCCACCCACCAAGAGGACCCUGUCACACUGGUCCUCACCAUCUCUACAUCCCAUCCUCACCUGUAGGGGUAUGUGGUGCUGAUGCUGCUCCUGUUGACCUGCCCUCGGCCUUGCCUUCUUGAAGUUCCAGGGCAGUCCUCCUCAGUGUCCAUGUCAGAGAUCCUGAACCAUGAAAAGCAAAAUUAUGUCACAUUAGUACAUAUGUCCCUUCUGCACCUUCCCCUCAAAGUGACCACUCAGUGACCACUCAUCAAACUAAGGACAACGUUCUUCUUCACACAAAAUGGCAUCACAUGAAGAGACAUUGACCAUCCUUUUCCAGGUGGCCUUUCCCAGAACAGAAUCCACACAAACAAGACAAAAUGACUAUGAAUGCCGAAUGUCAAUUUUCACUCACUGAAAGAGACUGAAGUGUGAGACUCUGUGAAGGUUUUCUCAAUUGACAAUAUUAGAGAAAGACAGACAACACUUUGCAUGACACACAAAAUAAAAGAAUGGUGCGAGAAUGCUCCAGCUCGCCUCUGGCUAGGACAUUUGAAACUCUGACAUAAGGCAUAUUUUCCUCCUCAAAAUUCCAAAAUUCCAAUCUGACGUGAUAGGAGGAAACUUCAACUACAACUUAACACAGGAAAAUGUUUUCUGUCUGGGAGCCUGGGAGCUUCACGUCUUUAGGUGUGGACUGCUCUUUAUUCACUGCUUUUCUUUGGCACCCACUUUUAAAAUAGUGUCUCGAAAGUGUGAACUUUCUGUAUCUGAACAAAGAAUGAAAAAUAAAUUGCUUAGCCUCUAAAUGCACUCGGCCAACCACCAGAUUCCAUAACUGCUUGGGCACUGCCCCUCACAUGCAGGGGAGUUUGAACCAUCCUGUCAUAAUCGUCAUUUGAAGGAUGUAUUUUAUUAUCCUUUCUCCUAGGAAAUGUGAUUACAACUUAAAGAAUCCAUACCUGAAAUGAAAACCCGUCUUGGUGCCUAUUUCUCCAGUUGGACUAAUUUUCUGAGGUUAAAAACCAGGGACCAAAAUGUAAU
Non-coding RNA from Sus scrofa (pig), 4266 nucleotides. Lineage: Eukaryota; Metazoa; Chordata; Mammalia; Artiodactyla; Suidae. The record is from RefSeq and is a predicted model, not a curated record.